Macaca mulatta (Rhesus monkey) is the source of this 1233-nucleotide non-coding RNA. The record is from RefSeq and is a predicted model, not a curated record. Lineage: Eukaryota; Metazoa; Chordata; Mammalia; Primates; Cercopithecidae.
AGCUGGAACCUGCUCACAGCUUCUAGAAGCCACCUGCAGUACCUUGUCAGAUGGACUGUCUCAACAGGGUUGCUUACUUCAUAAAAGCCAGAAAGACAAAUCCUCUCUCUCUCUCACUCUCUCUCUCUCUCUCUCUCUCUGUCUCUCCCUCUUUUUCCCUUUCUCCCCCUGUCUCAGUUGCUAAGUGAGAAUGAUGUAACACAAUCAUGGAAUUGCAGGAAUGGAAUCACAGAAGUGGCGUCUCAUCAUCUUUGUCAUAUUCUAUUGGUCAGUAGCAAGUCAUAGGUUCUACGAAGGAGUUUUCACUAAUAACAGUGAGAUACACAGAGCAGUGAUCCAAUAAAAAGAAAUGGCCAUGAAACAAAUAUUCACAAGAACAAGUACAUCAUACAAACUCUUGCUACAGAAGGAAAUAAUAAAGUGUCAUCAGGACAUGUAAUAGAGGGAGAUAUCUGGUAGCAUUGAAGAUAUCCCCCACAAGGAUGAGAUUUGAGCUGAAAUAUGAAAGAAGAGAGGGAGUUUAAUUAAACAGCAUAGAGAAGGGAAGAGUGAAAAAUUCUAAGAGUGAACUGUAUGUUCCAAAGCUCUAUGGUAGGAUAAAAGCACGGCACAUUUAAGAAAUGCAAGGAAAGCCCACGUGUCUGAAGAAGAGAAGCAGCCAGAGGAAGAGGAAGGGCGAGGCAUUGGAUAAGAAGAGCAGACCCCAGAGUAGAAGUGUCACGUGGCCUUCCUGUAGACCUGUGUGCCAACAGUCACAGAGAAGGAAAUAGUGACUGGGCUGCCCAAGAGGUGAUUUACUUUGAAGAGCAUCUGGUUAGGAGGAACUCAUCUCAGCGAGGCAUAAUAGUUGUUUCUAACCGACUGAAAGCAAAUCAUUCAGGAUUUUCUGGUUUCCUGUAGAUCAAAUGUCAUAAAUUGCUACAUUUUCUCUUUGCCAAGAAUUCCAGAAGUUCAAGAUGAAGAAUAGAUCUGUCCAUAAUUGUUAUUUGACUCAGGACAAGGAAAUUGUUAGAAAUACAUUACACUGAUGCUGGAAAUAGGAGAGAAAAAAAGCAAAUUCAUCAUGCUUGUAGCAAAUGCAAGUAUGUGUUUUCUUCUUUUGUCAAAUCCCUGUAUUCUAGAAGAAUAACGUCUUUGUGCUCCUCCUGCAUGUUUAUGAUGUCUAGUGAAGUGUUAAUCUUUAUAGCAGAGAUCAAUCACAAUGUACUUAAUAAAAACCAUAAUCCCCCUGCA